Molecule: ribosomal RNA, 253 nt
Filed under: uncultured bacterium
Lineage: Bacteria
Description: partial 16S ribosomal RNA
Rfam family: Bacterial small subunit ribosomal RNA
Source: RNAcentral
GACAGAGGUGGCAAGCGUUGUUCGGAUUCAUUGGGUGUAAAGGGUUCGUAGGUGGUCGAAUAAGUCUGACGUGAAAUCCCAUGGCUCAACCGUGGAACUGCGUUGGAAACUGUACGACUUGAGUACCGCAGAGGUAAAGGGAAUUCCCGGUGUAAGGGUGAAAUCUGUAGAUAUCGGGAGGAACACCAGUGGCGAAGGCGCUUUACUGGGCGGUAACUGACACUGAGGAACGAAAGCAAGGGGAGCAAACAGG